UACGUAGGGGCCAAGCGUUGUCCGGAUUUAUUGGGCGUAAAGAGCUCGUAGGCGGUUGGGUAAGUCGGGUGUGAAAACUCCAGGCUCAACUUGGAGACGCCACCCGAUACUGCUCUGACUUGAGUUCGGUAGGGGAGUGGGGAAUUCCUGGUGUAGCAGUGAAAUGCGUAGAGAUCAUGAGGAAGACCAGUGGCGAAGGCGGGUCUCUGGACAGUUCCUGACACUGAGGCACGAAGGCCAGGGGAGCAAACGGG
RNAcentral lists this ribosomal RNA (254 nucleotides) under uncultured bacterium. RNAcentral describes it as "partial 16S ribosomal RNA". It matches the Rfam family "Bacterial small subunit ribosomal RNA", at positions 524 to 776 of the family's 1533-position model. The record is from RNAcentral.